GGUUGUAUAGUGUAGUGGUUAUCACGUCGGAUUCUGAAGGCGUUCUUGUCUUCCGGAGAUCCUGGUUCGAUUCCGGGUACGACCU
RNAcentral lists this transfer RNA (85 nucleotides) under Tilletia horrida. RNAcentral describes it as "tRNA-Gln". It matches the Rfam family "tRNA". From Rfam's summary of the family: Transfer RNA (tRNA) molecules are approximately 80 nucleotides in length. Their secondary structure includes four short double-helical elements and three loops (D, anti-codon, and T loops). Lineage: Eukaryota; Fungi; Basidiomycota; Exobasidiomycetes; Tilletiales; Tilletiaceae. The record is from RNAcentral.